UUAGUAGUAGUUAAGUUAUAAUAACAACUUGCAAAGUUGGAGUCGGGGUGUACCUACUAAU
Molecule: transfer RNA, 61 nt
Filed under: Helicella itala
Lineage: Eukaryota; Metazoa; Mollusca; Gastropoda; Stylommatophora; Geomitridae
Description: tRNA-Cys
Source: RNAcentral